RNAcentral lists this unclassified non-coding RNA (1489 nucleotides) under Phyllosticta sp. 1 NV-2015. RNAcentral's name for it is "sequence contains ITS1, 5.8S rRNA gene and ITS2". The stretch from base 1128 to 1281 matches the Rfam family "5.8S ribosomal RNA". Lineage: Eukaryota; Fungi; Ascomycota; Dothideomycetes; Botryosphaeriales; Phyllostictaceae. The record is from RNAcentral.
AGCAGAAAUCUGGCCAAAAGUCAGUGCACAAAAACGCAUGGGCUUCUUUGUUACUUGUUGACAUCGAAGACAGAAAGGCAGUUGUGCGAGCCAUCGGGGUGUAAGAAAUCCCCGGGGGUCUCGGCAGCUGGUACAGCGGUCAAAUUCCAUGACGACGGAGCAUAGAUAGCUAACCCCUUACGUCGCGUCGAAAAACAAAACAUCUCACGGCUUCGGCCUGGGAGUCCUCGACCUUACGGAGGGACGCUUUGCUCUCGAGAGGUCAGCUGCGUACCUGGCGUUGCGGCCAAGCCUACAAAGACCCGUAGCGGGGUCUUAUGCCUGCGCACACGAGGUUAAGGGGGGUCAGAACCCCCUCGUUUCUUACGCCCCUUUGGGGCGUGAAGAUUGACCAGGCGAUGGGAAAGUAGCACCGAGAACGUGGAUCAUCAAGGCGACCGUGGCUCUGCGGCGCCUUCCACGGGGCUCCUCGCGACUAAACACUCACCUUCCACAUAAUAGGCGUAAUUGCCGGCGGAGUUGGUUUGGAUCUUCGGAUCAGGUGAACGCGAGUUGAUACAGGCCCACUCGACACUUUGUACUGCCUAGUCCUUCACGCUCGAGUGGGACACCUCGAACCCGAGCAAAUAGAAGCCGGCCUUUCCCUCAGUGCUUCACGGCCUAGGGUUAGAUACCGGACCAGUCUGUAGGUAGGCGCCUUGCUUGAAAAAGUCCCAAGGUGUCCUCAUCCCCCUAGGGGGAGCCUAAGGGAGUCGCUCUCCCGCUGGUUGCCCGGAUCGUUUGCUCGUGGAGACGCGGCCCCUAGCCGACAUACUAGGAGCCCGUCAGAUUGAUUGCCGUGCGCGGGCGAUCACGUUCGUCAGAACGUUUUACCCAUUGCAGUGCCAGCGUGGACGCGCAAGUGCGUCCCCAGGCUUUUGGUCGGAACUGUUGUCAAAAUUUCGCGCCGCGCGAGUAGGGGCCUUCGGGCACCCGCUUGUGGCAGGCAAGAGAUCCUAGAAAUCAACUCCCGGACCCUAUGACUACUAGUACUCACGUUUCCUCGGCAGGUCCGCCUGCCAACGGGGACCCUACAAAUUCUUUUUUGCAGUGGUAGUGUUUGUCUGAAAAUAAACAAAUCUUAUUAAAACUUUCAACAACGGAUCUCUUGGUUCUGGCAUCGAUGAAGAACGCAGCGAAAUGCGAUAAGUAGUGUGAAUUGCAGAAUUCAGUGAAUCAUCGAAUCUUUGAACGCACAUUGCGCCCUUUGGUAUUCCAUAGGGCAUGCCUGUUCGAGCGUCGUUUCAAACCUUCAAGCCUAGCUUGGUGUUGGGUGACUGUCCCGCGUGCCCGCGUGGACUCGCCUUAAAAUCAUUGGCAGCGAACAUCGUAGCUAAUUGCGCAGCACAACGCGCCUGAAGCUCUCUGUUUGGCUAUCCACGAGCAAAGUCUCACCAGUUUUGACCUCGGAUCAGGUAGGGAUACCCGCUGAACUUAAGCAUAUCAAUAA